This 254-nucleotide ribosomal RNA is filed under the name uncultured bacterium. RNAcentral's name for it is "partial 16S ribosomal RNA". It matches the Rfam family "Bacterial small subunit ribosomal RNA", at positions 524 to 776 of the family's 1533-position model. The record is from RNAcentral.
UACGGGGGGGGCAAGCGUUGUUCGGAAUUACUGGGCGUAAAGGGCUCGUAGGUGGCCAACUAAGUCAGACGUGAAAUCCCUCGGCUUAACCGGGGAACUGCGUCUGAUACUGGAUGGCUUGAGUUUGGGAGAGGGAUGCGGAAUUCCAGGUGUAGCGGUGAAAUGCGUAGAUAUCUGGAGGAACACCGGUGGCGAAGGCGGCGAUCCUGGACCAACACUGACACUGAGGAGCGAAAGCCAGGGGAGCAAACGGG